This 636-nucleotide long non-coding RNA is filed under the name Felis catus (domestic cat). RNAcentral describes it as "lncRNA (ENSFCAG00000052953.1)". The record is from RNAcentral. Lineage: Eukaryota; Metazoa; Chordata; Mammalia; Carnivora; Felidae.
CGAGAUUGAGGUUUCUACUCAUUUUUUAUAAGGGUCAGAUAGCUUAUUCGUCAACGCUUUUCCAAAGGCAGCACGUUUUUGAUGUGACAAUAUUUCCAUUUCUUUUUACCCCCGAAAGAUCCUAAGAGCAAUUUUUUUUCCUUUUAAACAAAGGAAAUAACUGUAUACUUCCAGGAGAGGAGAUGGCAUCUCUACACCUUUCUGUUCUAAAUUUGAUGACUUCAGCACCAUCACAUAAUCAGCCUUCAUCUCUUCCCACGGACAGUGGACAUGCACUGAACUUGACAUUACACGAAGCUGAAGAAUUUUGCUCCUCGCUGUCUAGGCAAUGCGCCCAUUCCUUUAUGCUCUCUGUGAUACGGCACACAAAACACUUUUACAAGAAUAUCGGUCUUCUUAGCCUUAACAGUUCUUUCCUAGGGGGCGCCAGCGUGGCUCAGUUGGUUGGGCGUCCGACUUCAGCUCAGGUGAUGAUCUCACUGUUCACAAGUUCGAGUCCCGCGAACUCUCUGUGCUGACAGCUUGGAGCCUGGAGCCUGCUUCAGAUUCUGUGUCUCCCUCUCUCUCUGCCCCUCCCCACUCACACUCUGUCUCUCUGUGUCUUAAAAAUAAAUAAAUGUUAAAUAAAUAAAUAAA